CUCCCAGCACUCCACCUCCCAAGGCUUUAGGUUUAUUCCCUCCGUGUUAGGAACCUGGUCCGAGGUGUUAUCUAUCCCAGCUAAUUCAGUUCCCACAUCUGCCCCUACUCUUCAAAUUGAAAAGACCUUCAGUUAAGAUUUCUGAAAAAUCCUUAACAGACAACUUUUAAAACAGGGUGGCAACAUAAAAACAACUACAAAAAUCAGUAAACUUGUUUUGACUAAAGAUAGCGUCCAACUAGAUAAGUUCUCUUUCCUGAAUAGUUCAUUGAACUCCUUCCUUGAGAAUUGUGUAGGGACUCACUGUGGUCUGAAAGAUUCAUGUAGCUCAUGCCUCCAAAAUCUUCACAACUAUAUCCUUGGGCUAAUAGCAGGAAGUUUAUUGCAAUUCUGUUCUGUAGGGUGGCAUACCUGAUGCUGUUAACAUGCAGCAAUAGCUUAGUCAGUUCUCAGGACAGCAUUGGUUUGCCUACUCAGCCAGCACCCAAGAUCAUCCAGCAUUUUUAAAGCUUUUGCUCCAGCAACCCCAGGUGCCAGUAUUGAGGCUGCUAUUCUCUUUCCUUUACUUCAAAAGUUAAUCUCAUCUUUGCAAUCAGAUUCAAAUUGGAUUCAAUGGACAAAUCUCUUAUGCCUAUUUUUUUAGUCACGAAUUAUGGAAAUCUCAGGUGCUAGCACAGAAAGCCUUCUCAAGCUACAUGGUCUGCCCUUAAGGUGAGAUGGAAUGGCAGGCCAUGCUCUGUCUCCACAAAUGAGAAAUGUUACAGAUGGUAACUGUAAUGAGAAAUCACUGGACCAGGUUUAAGUGAGGAGUAUUGCAUGGAUCAGGAUGGGUACAGCAAGCAGGAGUCCCUUAGGGAGUCAUGUCUGGUGGAAUAACCUGCGGAUAGGACUUUAAAUACUAAUAAUGCUUAUAGAGCUAAGAAACUGGUGGUAUUAAUCAGCAGUGGUUAAGAGACAAGAGAAGGCUAUCCAAAAGCCUCAAGGUAUCUUUUCUGCAGAUUCUUCCUGGGGUUCUUCCUGUUAAACUUCUUGGUGUUCCUGUUGAAGCUGCAAAUAUGACUUGAUAUUUUUUUCUGGAACCCAGAGAGAUCCUUUAUCUGUAGAGACACAAGCAUAUCCCUUCCCCCAGAAAAUCAGUGGGAAAGGCCCUAAAAUUUUGCUGGUUUCUAGAUCUCUAGUUAGGACUAGGUCUCUCUUUUAACUGUGCUUGUGUGAUAUUGGAAAAAUGUCUAAUAACUGGGGUGUUAAGCUCCAUAAAUGAGUUGUUCAAGAAAUUAAAAACAUAUGUAGCAUUACUGAGCCUCCCUGUAGUGGUCAUGGUCUCCAUUUUUCUUUUUCUUGGUCUCCUAAAAAUAGAACAAUCAUCUACAUGAAACUGAACAGAACAAACUAAAAUUAAAACUAUCCUCAUAGGUCUGUGGGGGGGUCCCAACCAAACUUAUUACCUCUUCCUUCUGUUGGACUAAAAACAACGAACAUAAAGAAUUCCUAAAAACUUUUAACAUACAGCUUAACAACAUGGUAAUAACAUUAACAUUAUAACAAUAACUAAAAAUAUUAACAAACUUGUAAACUUACAAACUGUUAUCUAACUGCACAAACACUUUCCCUACUAAACCAAAUUAGUAGCUCUAUGUUUGCUUUCUUUUCAAGACUUUUCCAUGUUUCAGUGAAGUUACCUUCGGUCUGAAAGGGGUUGGCAACAUCAUGUAUACUACCCCCCUACCAGGCAACCAACUGGGUCAUUCACAGGGUAUGAGAAGUCUAUGCCUUGGGUUUUACUCUGCAUAUUUAAUAGGUUUCUUGUCACUGUUGUUUCAAUAAGCUUCUAAGCUUUUAGAGCUUUGUUUGUACCCUUGGCUGGUUUGCCUAGAUUUGUUAAUUUGCCAGAUAAACCGGAAAUAGCCAACAGCUCCCAUCCUUGAAUAAUACGUUAACACAAUUUUUAAAUGACUGAGAACAAAACUUAAUUUUAGAUUUGGAAGUCACACAACUAAAACUGUAAGAUUUGUGGAAGAGGAAAAAAAGACAUUAAUAUUUAUUUUUCUUUUGAGGGCAUAAACAACCCAGCAAGUCUCUGUGAAUUUUAUACAGGAAAAAUUCUGAAGUUAAAUCAAGAUCUUAAAUAUUACACAGUAUUAUACUGAAAUUCAAUGCGCAUUUGAAACUACAGUGUCUGGGACACCCCUUCCUGCUGCCCCCUGGCCUGGUCUUUCCAGCACAUCUGUAAUGCACCUGACUGGGCUGCAGACAGCGGCUGCAGGAUUUGUCGGCGGUGGCGCCGGGCCCGAGCCCCUGCAGGAGCGCAGCUCUGCUCUGCUCUGUUUAAUAUUGGCCUGGCUGCACCAUGGGCCCACCCCACUGCAGCUGCAGGAAGAAGAGACAAGAUUCUUGGCAGCCAUCGGAAGACCGCCUGGCACUGCGGGCCAGGGUAGCAGCGGCAGCCGGGGGCAGACCGCGGAUGAGGCGCUCACUCGCUGCUGGUGGCUGGAGCGGCACGGUUGGGCCACCCGUGCCCCCCGAGCGACAGCGGCAGUGCCCCGGGACUGCAAAGCUGUGCCGCUGAAAGGGGGGAGAUGGUCACCAUCUGUCCGUGGCUGGGGUCCCCUGGUCCCGGCACGGUGGCCACCGGCCACGGCUCGGUGUCGGGGAGCAGCCUGAGCAGCCUUUUCAGCCCCCUGUUCCACUCCAGGGCAGUCCGAGGGGCAAGAAGGAUGAGAACACGAAAGGACCGGAGUUGCAAAUUGCACGGGCUCCAGUGUACAUGGAAAUCUUCAUCUGACGAGAUUACAGUGAUAUGCGCCAAAACCAGCAUGAAUAUUCGUCUGUAGAAAGUGUAUUCCAAGGGAUUUGUCAGGCACCACGAUAAGGAGAGGCACAUGUACCAACAUGCAAAAGAAGACAAGACCAACAGAAGAAGGCAAAGGACCCCCGAAAAGCCUGGGAACAUAUAAAAAGGACCUUGUGAUAGUCACAUUUUGUGAAACACAGUGGAGCGGUGCCAGACAGGCCCCCCCCCCAUCUCACCAGGAACUGUUAGCCUGUUUCAGUGCCGAUCUGAUUUUUUUGCU
This is a non-coding RNA of Cyanistes caeruleus (blue tit), 3071 nucleotides long. Lineage: Eukaryota; Metazoa; Chordata; Aves; Passeriformes; Paridae. The record is from RefSeq and is a predicted model, not a curated record.